Mirounga angustirostris (Northern elephant seal) is the source of this 2835-nucleotide long non-coding RNA. RefSeq lists it as uncharacterized. NCBI's taxonomy places the organism in Eukaryota, Metazoa, Chordata, Mammalia, Carnivora, Phocidae. The transcript is spliced from 3 exons. The record is from RefSeq and is a predicted model, not a curated record.
AAACAAAGGCCUUGGCCUUACGCAGAGAAUACAAGUUUUGUUUGGGGAGGAGUUGUUUAUUUUAUGUACUUUUUUCUCUCUUUGUCUUUGUUCUAGACUAGGGAAGGAUUGAAUUGGAUCGCCUAAAGUUUCAGGUCACCAGACUGUGCAGUGCGUAAGAAUCAACUGGGCAUGUAAUACGUAAAGUAGGAGAAAACAUUUUAAAGCCAGGGGGUGGGUUUGGGGAAGACGAGGAGGAGGGAGGAGAGUGGACAUCUAUCUCUGCAGCAUUCGGAGUGUUGGUUUUUUUUCCCCCCCCCAGAGAUUUAGAAAGACAAAGAAUAAAAAUACAAGUGUUGGCAUCUGAGUCAUUAACACCUCAACAACCCAUUUGUCUUUCUGGGAUGCUAAAAAGUGGUACGUGUGAAAUUCUCCAAAUAAGUCAAACUAUUUUUAACUAGUUAAAAAUAAAAGGGGGGGGGGCGCUAGGGGGAGUAAUUAUCCUGGUGCAUCUUCAAAACACUGAUUCUCGGACUGUACCCAUAAAUACAGAACGAGAAUCUAUGGGUAGUAGAGCCAGGGACUUUACAUUUUAGCGGAAUGAACAGGAAUCCACACCCCAUCCAACCCCGUUUGAGAAGCAGUCCCAUCAGGAGCUGCCCCGUCGGGCUCCGCGAGCUUGGCCUCCUCAACCACAGCAAAUUAAGUAAGAAACCAAGCGGAGAGAGUAAUACGACACUCCACCACUUGCAUGGCUUCUUAAAAGUAGUGAAUCAAACAACAGCCCUGAGUGCUGAGAAAGACCUCGCAAGCAACUGGUUUCCCUCCCAGCUCAAAACUGCAAAUCCCCGUCAGUCGGGACGCCUGUGAAAUUUACUCAGGAAGAAAGCCGCUCGCCGUGGACCGUGUAGGCUUCGCCAGCAUUGCACCCAACAGUCCCGAGUGUUCUUACUAGACACGCCGGAUACAAGGCUUAAAAGUCGCCCACAGACAUGACCGCUGCUUGGAUUUUUCUUAAAAGGCCUUAUUUUUAUAAUCCCUUUUGGUUUAUUUCAGAAGUAAAGACUAAGGAGCCUUUUGAAAAAGUUCUUCUUUGUCUGAGCCCUGUGAAUUUCCUUUCUACCCAACCCCCCAACAAGAACUCAUUUCUUUAUUCGAGUAAACAAUCUUUCUUUGGAACGGUGGGGGAAGAGAUCCUGAAGCCCCUCACUGUCCUAUUUUCAUUUGUACCCAAAGUGUUACUCUUAAUCAGUUUAGCAUUAUUCAGAGAGUCCUUGAGAGGACUGCCCCAGCAUUAAACAUUCGUAAUCUGCAAACAAAGAAAAGAUGAAAGUUUCUCUGCGAACAAAAAUGCCGUCGUUGUACAGACAAUAUCCAAGUUCCUGUGGUGGCUAAGUCUAUAAAUUCUAAGGGAGCAGCCUGGAGCUAAAGUUAUGUUAGCAGAUUCAGUUCAUGCUCUUCUUUCCAGCUUAACUCAACUGAGGCAAAAGACCUGAGGAGCAGCAUAGCAUCCACCCGGUGAUGGAAACUGAAACUACCCUUCAAGCAAUAACAAUUGACUGGGCAGAGUUCCCCUGAGUACCACCCAGAGCAGUUUGAGCUCAAACCCUGGCUCACACCUGCACAGAUGGACCACGGAGUGACCUGUGGAAUGACCGACAGUUACCUUUCCCUCAUUAUAAUACUCUAUUAUUAUAUAAUAUUAUAUAAAAUCUCCACCCAAGGAGGGGGGAACACAAGCCUCAUUUACUUAAUAUAUAAUGUAUGUACAGGCAUGUUCCCUUUAGGUGCAUGUGUGACCUUACGCCUGCCUCUACGUGCGAUGAUCAGGCUCCCUCCUAAAUAUUCAUCCUAACCCUAAAUAAAAGGAACCCCAUUCACCCUUGUUUGGGGACUCACGGCUUUGGAAGUUAUUCCCUGUGAUCUCCUUAUUUGCUGCAAAUAAGUUUACUUUGUGCAACAACUCCGCCUGGUGUAGUUCCUAUCUGUGACUUACCAAAGAGGGAACUUGUGUUAGUUCAGUUACAAUACUAUUACAUACCUAACAGAAUGGCCAAAAUUAAAAAGACUGAUAACAUCAUAUGCUAACAAGCAUUUUUGGCAACUAGAUUGCUCAUUCAUUGCCAGUGGGAGUAUAAAAUGACACAACCACUGUAGAAAACUGUUGGGCAAUUUAUUAUAAAGUUGAACCCUAAAUCAGUAAUUCCAUUUCUGUAUGAUUACCCAGGGGAAAUGAACGCGUAUGUACGUAAAGACUUGCACAAGAAUAUUCAUCGCAGCUUAAUUCAAAAUAACCUAAAACUGGAAAUAAACCAAAUAUCCAUUAAUAGAUGAAUGGAUAGACUGAUAGAUUGUGGUAUAUUCAUAGUAUUGGAAUAUUACUUAGCUAUACAAAGAAAUGAACUAUAUGAAUGAAACUCAAAAUCAUUAUGCUGAGUUAAGGAAACUAAACACAAAAGAGUAUGAUUCCAUUUAUGUGAAAUUCUGAAACAAUCGAAACUAUGGUAAAAGACACUAGCUUGGGGGAGGGGGAAGGAUUGACUGUGAAGGCCAUAAAUGAACUCUCUGAGGUAAUGGAAAUAUUUUAUAUCUUAUUUAUUUUUUUAGUUCUAUAUCUUCAUAGGAUAUGGGUAACAAGGGUAUAUAUGCUUAUCAAACUGUAAGACUUAAUAUUUGGGGGUGGCUGACUGGCUCAGUCGGUACAGCAUGCAACUCUUGAUCUCAGGGUCAUGAGUUCAAGCUCACGUUUGGUGUAUAGGUUACUUAAAAAAAUAAUAAAAAUUUAGGUGUGCCUGGGUGGCUCAGUUGGUUAAGCGUCUGCCUUUGGCUCAGGUCCUGAUCCCAGGGUCCUGGGAU